UCCAACAAUGGCUAGCUGUGACUGGAAAGUCCAAGAAUCUAGUAGUUGCUCAGUCCUAUGAGGCUGGGUGUCUCAGCUGGUCUUCUGUAGAUGCUGGAAUCCUGAAGGAGUAGGCUCCAAUGCCAGAGAAGGAAUUGAUAUUCUGACAAGCAGGUGAAGAAUGAACAAAUGCUUCCUUCUUCCUUUGUCCUUAUACAGGAUUCCAGCAGAAAGUGUGGCCCAGAUUAAAGAUGUGCCUUCCUACAUCAAGAUCCGGAUUAAAAGUGUGUGUCAUCCCACCUCAAUAUCUGGAUCAAAAGCCUGUGUUGUCCAGUCUCAAGAUCCAGAUCAAAAGACUUGUUGUCUUCCUGCCUCAAGAUCUGGAUCACAAGUGUGCCCUCCAUUUCUGGAUUGCAGUUCAUGCCAGAUAUAGUCAAGUUGACAACCAAAAAACAGCCAUCAGAACCACCCAUUCUAAAAUUCAUUUUCAAGUGUCCUGGCCUCAAAUAUUGUGUGUGUUCAUAUAAAUGUUGAGACUGUAUAGGUAUGAUAAUAUAUCUGUACAUCCUGUUGUUACAUUGUCACUAUACAGUUAGAAAUUUCAAAACAGUAUGUCCUUUAAAACUAAUUCAGCCUGUGAGAUGGCUUAGCAAAUGAAGAAAGGCCUUUUCUCCCAAAGUGUGACUUCCUGAUGGAGAGAACACCUGCACUUUGUCCUCUGACUUCCACAUUGUCACUUGGCAGCCACAUAUUCUCAACACAAAAUAAUGUUUUAAAUGAGCCUACUCAUUAAACUGCAUCUGCCCUACACCUUCCCAGUUUAUUUUACACCAAUGGUUCCUAGGUCAAGGUCUCAACUAAUGAUGAGGCUUCUUAGAACUCCUCUCAAUGUCUUAAAAAAACCUUAAUGCAAAGUGUGUUUUCACUGAAAGCUUAGAUAAGCUAAUCUAUUCUAGCGACAAGUCUAUAAUUCUUUAUCCUAAUUCCUUGAGACCACGUGUUACCGAAAUCAGAUUGUUUUCAGACUCUAUGGAGAAAAUGUAAUGCUAAUACCGUUUAUUACAUAAUUCUCCACAGGGCCGUGGCAGUGCCUCGAACACAGUAAUAACUUUAUUGUACCAAUGACAGUCUUAGGUCCAUUUUGCUGCCAAAUAAUUUCCUGCAAACUUAUAUGAAAACUCAAGGUUUUCAGAACAUUUUUGAUUUUACAACUGUGAAUAAUGGAUUGUGAGCCUAUUGUUGAGAUGUACUGACAUGUUUAUUCUCUCAACAAUACAUGAAUAUAUAUAUAUAUAUAUAUAUAUAUAUAUAUAUAUAUAUAUAUAUAUAUAUAUAUAAUUUAUAGAUGACACCAAGCCACAAAGUAUAAUGUGUCCAUGGGCCCACAGCUAGUGGUAAAUACAGAUUUUGAGUGUAGUUAGGGUGUCUGUUGCUGUGAUAAAACAGCAUGACCAUAAACAACUUGGGGAGGAAAGGGUUUCUUUCAUCUUACAUCUUACACUCCAUCGUGACAGGAAGUCAGGACAGGAACUCAAGCAGGAAGCUGGAGGCAGGAACUGAAGCAGAGGUCAUGGAGGAAUGCAGCAUAUUGGCUUGCUCCCCAUAGCUUGCUCAGCCUGCUUUUAGCACCUAGGACCACCUGCCCAGGGGUGGCACCACUCAUAGUGAGUUGGGCCCUCCCCACUAAUUAAGAAAAUGUCCCACAGACUUGCCCAUAGGCUAAUCUGAUGGAGUCAUUUUCUCAAUUGAGGUUCCUUCCCUCUUCUCAAAUGACUCCAGCUCAUGCCAAGUUGACAUAAAACUAGCUUAUACACUAAAUUUAAAAUCCUUUGAAGAGGAGUUUCCAAAGUGUAGUAGCAUAAGUCUCACUAACUGGAUUUGAGACCUUGAAUGACUAAUUAGGGUACUGGAACUCAGUUUGCUCCUCUUGCUGGGAGACCCCUAAAAAGCUAAAUCAGGUGAACCUGCAGUCCACUUUUGGCUUGGCUUAAUGUCUUCCCCAUGAUGUCUGUAAGUGUUUGAAGGCUUCUAUUCUCAUUGUCACACACAUUAUGAUUAUUAAAAAUCAUCUCAGUAUCUCAGUUUUGAAAAGCAUAAUGUAGGCUCAUAUUUGAAACAGCGUUCUCUCACAAGAAGAUAUGUCUUUAGAUUGUUAAUGGUUCCCCUUCUCUUUGAAGGUCUUUUAGUUUCCAUCCCAUAAUUACAACUUCUGUACAUCACUUAAAUGUCGUCACCUCCUAUAUUAUACCAAGUCCCUAGUUGGCAUCUCCUCCCUACUUACUAACUCCCGGUCAGUGGCUUCUGAGCUUUCUUUACUGCUUAAGCUUCUUUGGCAUGCAGGUAUCUGUUGUUUGAAGUCUAAAAUGGUCUUAUAAUAAAAACCUGGAGCCAAAUAUUAGGGUAAAUGCUGAAAAAUCAGAGAGACAAAGGAACAAGCCACUAGAGAAACUUCUCACCAGUACUGAAUCCUCAGGUCGACUGGAAGGCGAGAUCCUGUCUCCAUGAAUCCUUUGACUGAAUGCCUCUGAGUCCUCAGCCAAAAAGGCACUAGUUCCUGUCUCCUCGCCCCUUAUAUGCCUUUCUCCAUCCAGCCAUUUCACUUCCUUCCUAGUGCUUGGAUUAAUGGCGUGUGUGCUUUCCAAAUACUGGUAGCAAAGGCAUGAGAUCUCAAGUGCUGGGAUUAAAGGUGUGUGCCACCACUGCCUGACUUCUAUGUUUAAUCUAGUGUCUGGCUCUGUCCUCUGAUCCUCAGGCAAGCUUUAUUUCAUGCACAAUAUAUCACCACAGGUAUCAUUUUCCCUAAAGACAAAAUUUCUCUUAGUUACUUUCUAUGUUUAUAUUCAGAUUUUAUUUCAGUAUCUAUUAAUAUAUUUAUUUGGUGAUCAGAGAGACAAUAGGGACUGGUUUAAAGACAUGUAAUAGUUCUCUUCAUGUUACACAGGAUUCAGGAAAUUGAUGUAAAUAAUACUUCAAUGAGAAGUAUAGCCCUUCAGUACAAAAAGUGUAUCAGACAGUAGUAGUUAAGGAAAGUACUGUAUAAAAAUCCUUUCCCCCAGAAAAAUGUAAAUUAAUCUUGACCAAAGAUAAAGCCCUGGUUGAUUAUAAUAAGUCCAUGCUUAACCAUUAAUGGCAUCUAAAAGGCUUGUUUCUAACAUAGAUUCAGAUAAUUAUUAGGCAAGAAGAGAUCUGUCACACAAGGUGCUACCUACAAGCUUUUAAGACAGUGUGGCACAUGGAAGGAAUAAAGUUCCUUCUUACUACAUUGAACCCUGUACUAUUGUAAUGUUCCAAGUUGCAAAUUCUAACCUGUGAAAAGGACAGCAGAAACAUUUGACAGUUCUUAUGCAAAGAAGUUGAAUGAAAAGCAGUCCCUUCUUAAAAAAAAAAAAAUAUUGAAGACAUCACCUGGUUCCUGGGAUAUAAAUCCAAAUUCAGAUGGACUACCAAUGUGACUUCUAUCUUCUCCCCUACCAUUUAAUUCUUUGUCAUACUUUGUCCCAGAUUUGAUAACACCUUAGCUACUUUGUAGUGGGUAGCCAGUUCAGCUUUGACCUGAAAAUAUCACCCCCAUUGAGGCUUCGAGAGAGGACCCCUGAAGACCUGAGAUCCAGAUGGGCUGGCCCUCUUGGUUCCUGGAUCCUGGACGCUGGUGGUAGACAGAGCAGAGUUCUCCAGAGAACACAGCUGGACUGCACUUCACCUUUCCCAGACCCUGUUACCUAUCCCUUCACUUGUAAGUUACCCCACAAAAUAAACCUCCCUUUUAACUAU
This is a long non-coding RNA of Peromyscus californicus insignis, 3750 nucleotides long. RefSeq lists it as uncharacterized. NCBI's taxonomy places the organism in Eukaryota, Metazoa, Chordata, Mammalia, Rodentia, Cricetidae. The transcript is spliced from 2 exons. The record is from RefSeq and is a predicted model, not a curated record.